Molecule: ribosomal RNA, 707 nt
Filed under: uncultured bacterium
Lineage: Bacteria
Description: bacterial SSU rRNA
Rfam family: Bacterial small subunit ribosomal RNA
Source: RNAcentral
UUGAGUUUGAUCAUGGCUCAGGACGAACGCUGGCGGCGUGCCUAAUACAUGCAAGUCGAGCGAAUCUUGAGGGGCUUGCCCCUCGAGAUUAGCGGCGGACGGGUGAGUAACACGUGGGCAACCUGCCUGUAAGACUGGGAUAACACCGGGAAACCGGUGCUAAUACCGGAUAAUUCUUCACCUCUCAUGAGGUGAAGCUGAAAGUCGGUUUCGGCUGACACUUACAGAUGGGCCCGCGGCGCAUUAGCUAGUUGGUGAGGUAACGGCUCACCAAGGCGACGAUGCGUAGCCGACCUGAGAGGGUGAUCGGCCACACUGGGACUGAGACACAGCCCAGACUCCUACGGGAGGCAGCAGUAGGGAAUCUUCCGCAAUGGACGAAAGUCUGACGGAGCAACGCCGCGUGAGUGAUGAAGGCCUUCGGGUCGUAAAACUCUGUUGUUAGGGAAGAACAAGUAUUGGAGUAACUGCCGGUACCUUGACGGUACCUAACCAGAAAGCCACGGCUAACUACGUGCCAGCAGCCGCGGUAAUACGUAGGUGGCAAGCGUUGUCCGGAAUUAUUGGGCGUAAAGCGCGCGCAGGCGGUCCUUUAAGUCUGAUGUGAAAGCCCACGGCUCAACCGUGGAGGGUCAUUGGAAACUGGGGGACUUGAGUGCAGAAGAGGAAAGCGGAAUUCCACGUGUAGCGGUGAAAUGCGUAGAGAU